RNAcentral lists this ribosomal RNA (368 nucleotides) under uncultured organism. RNAcentral's name for it is "bacterial SSU rRNA". It matches the Rfam family "Bacterial small subunit ribosomal RNA", at positions 526 to 896 of the family's 1533-position model. The record is from RNAcentral.
CGGAGGGUGCAAGCGUUAUCCGGAUUCACUGGGUUUAAAGGGUGCGUAGGCGGGCAGGUAAGUCAGUGGUGAAAUCUCCGGGCUUAACUCGGAAACUGCCGUUGAUACUAUCUGUCUUGAAUUCUGUGGAGGUGAGCGGAAUAUGUCAUGUAGCGGUGAAAUGCUUAGAUAUGACAUAGAACACCAAUUGCGAAGGCAGCUCACUACACAGCGAUUGACGCUGAGGCACGAAAGCGUGGGGAUCAAACAGGAUUAGAUACCCUGGUAGUCCACGCCCUAAACUAUGGAUACUCGACAUACGCGAUACACUGUGUGUGUCUGAGCGAAAGCAUUAAGUAUCCCACCUGGGAAGUACGACCGCAAGGUUG